RNAcentral lists this ribosomal RNA (514 nucleotides) under uncultured bacterium. RNAcentral describes it as "bacterial SSU rRNA". It matches the Rfam family "Bacterial small subunit ribosomal RNA", at positions 31 to 518 of the family's 1533-position model. The record is from RNAcentral.
GAACGCUGGCGGCGUGGAUUAGGCAUGCAAGUCGAACGGGACUUAUGUGUAGCAAUACUUAUAAAGUCUAGUGGCGUAAGGGUGGGUAACGACGUGGGUAAUGUACCCGAUAGUUUGGGAUAACGUUCCGAAAGGGACGCUAAUACCGGAUGUGAUGUUAGACCGCCGGGUUUAACAAGAAAGGUGGGGACCGCAAGGCCUGCCGCUAACGGAACGGCCCGCGACCUAUUAGCUAGUUGGUGGGGUAAAGGCCUACCAAGGCGAGGAUGGGUAGCCGAACUGAGAGGUUGACCGGCCACACUGGGACUGAGACACUGCCCAGACUUCUACGGAAGGCUGCAGUCGAGAAUCAUUCACAAUGGACGAAAGUCUGAUGAUGCGACGCCGCGUGCGCGAUGAAGGUCUUCGGAUUGUAAAGCGCUUUGAACAGGGAAGAAUGCCGCGUAUUUAAUAGAUAACGCGGAGGGACAGUACCUGACAAACAAGCCCCGGCUAAUUUCGUGCCAGCAGCCGC